RNAcentral lists this ribosomal RNA (440 nucleotides) under uncultured bacterium. RNAcentral describes it as "partial 16S ribosomal RNA". It matches the Rfam family "Bacterial small subunit ribosomal RNA", at positions 338 to 795 of the family's 1533-position model. The record is from RNAcentral.
CCUACGGGGGGCAGCAGUGGGGAAUAUUGCACAAUGGGGGAAACCCUGAUGCAGCGACGCCGCGUGAGUGAAGAAGUAUUUCGGUAUGUAAAGCUCUAUCAGCAGGGAAGAAAAUGACGGUACCUGAGUAAGAAGCCCCGGCUAACGACGUGCCAGCAGCCGCGGUAAUACGUAGGGGGCAAGCGUUAUCCGGAUUUACUGGGUGUAAAGGGAGCGUAGACGGCAGCACAAGUCUGGAGUGAAAUGCCGGGGCUUAACCCCGGAACUGCUUGGGAAACUGUGCAGCUAGAGUGCAGGCGAGGUAAGUGGAAUUCCUAGUGUAGCGGUGAAAUGCUUAGAUAUUAGGAGGAACACCAGUGGCGAAGGCGGCUUACUGGACUGUAACUGACGUUGAGGCUCGAACGCGUGGGGAGCAAACAGGAUUAGAUACCCUAGUAGUC